ACUCAAAUGAAUAGACGGGGGCCCGCACAAGCAGUGGAGUAUGUGGUUUAAUUCGAAGCAACGCGAAGAACCUUACCAGGGCUUGACAUACCUCUGACGUAGUUAGAGAUAACUAUUCCCUUCGGGGCAGAGGAUACAGGUGGUGCAUGGUUGUCGUCAGCUCGUGUCGUGAGAUGUUGGGUUAAGUCCCGCAACGAGCGCAACCCCUGUUGUUAGUUGCCAUCAUUAAGUUGGGCACUCUAGCGAGACUGCCGGUGACAAAUCGGAGGAAGGUGGGGACGACGUCAAAUCAUCAUGCCCCUUAUGUCCUGGGCUACACACGUACUACAAUGGCUAUUACAGAGGGAAGCGAAACCGCGAGGUGGAGCGAAUCUCCAAAAAUAGUCCCAGUUCAGAUUGCAGGCUGAAACUCGCCUGCAUGAAGUCGGAAUUGCUAGUAAUGGCAGGUCAGCAUACUGCCGUGAAUACGUUCCCGGGCCUUGCACACACCGCCCGU
This 496-nucleotide ribosomal RNA is filed under the name uncultured bacterium. RNAcentral's name for it is "bacterial SSU rRNA". It matches the Rfam family "Bacterial small subunit ribosomal RNA", at positions 899 to 1397 of the family's 1533-position model. The record is from RNAcentral.